UCUCCCGACCCGUAGCCCUGCUCUGUUACGACUGCGUGGGUGAGUCGUCUAUAAAAACUCAUCUCUGCGCGUCUCUUCGCCGCAUUCGCUUCCUGUUUUUGGCGUAUCUGUUGUGUCUGGUUGCAGGCACCGCAGUCGCCGUGAAGAUGGCGUCUACCAGCCGGUGACCGGGUUAUCGAUGUGGGAUCUGAAUGGCGAACUUUCAGCAAUGACAAAGCAACAAAAGAUCCAUCUCGAGUUGGUGAUUCUCAGAAUCCUCUUCUGAGUGACGGAGAUUUGUCUACCAUGAUUGGCAAGGGCACAGGAGCUGCAAGUUUUGAUGAGUUUGGCAAUUCUAAGUACCAGAAUCGGAGAACAAUGAGCAGUUCUGAUCGGGCAAUGAUGAAUGCAUUCAAAGAAAUCACUACCAUGGCAGACAGAAUCAAUCUACCUCGAAAUAUAGUUGUAAGUUCUUGUCUGCCUCCUUUAGCCAUUCUGGCAUUGACUUUGCAUCAUUUAAUGAACACAUGAAAUUUUGAUAUUGCAGC
This 527-nucleotide small RNA is filed under the name Pongo abelii (Sumatran orangutan). Its description in RNAcentral is "processed transcript". The record is from RNAcentral. Lineage: Eukaryota; Metazoa; Chordata; Mammalia; Primates; Hominidae.